AGCAGCACACUGUGGUUUGUAC
This 22-nucleotide non-coding RNA is filed under the name Capra hircus (goat). Its record names the gene chi-miR-497-5p. The record is from miRBase by way of RNAcentral. Lineage: Eukaryota; Metazoa; Chordata; Mammalia; Artiodactyla; Bovidae. RNAcentral also lists the same sequence under 1 other name.